Molecule: long non-coding RNA, 3868 nt
Organism: Oncorhynchus keta (chum salmon)
Lineage: Eukaryota; Metazoa; Chordata; Actinopteri; Salmoniformes; Salmonidae
Exons: 3
Source: RefSeq, a predicted model, not a curated record
AACUGUUUGGACUAACGAUUACACCCAUGGUUUCUUUUUCAAUGAGUGAAAAAAGUGCAUUAAUUGUCAUUGUUGAACAUUUCUUUAUUGAUUGAUUACCACAUUUUGACAGGUUGGCUAUUUUAGAUGACAUCAAAGUCCUCGUGGAAACUGACCAUCUUGCUGCAUCCUCGGAGGGAGAAGUUAGGGGCGGAGGUUUUGUUGACGGUGGCAGGCCCCAGCACAGAGAGCUGCAUGUAAGCAGCAGGGCCUGAGCGAAAGGACGCAAUCACAUUCCGUUAUGGCGAAGGUGACCACAGAUGGUGUCCAGAUGCACGGAAGGGAUCAGGGACCAACAAUGGCGUAAACUAUAGUCUUUCACCACUUCUACCGUGAGACCAGAGUCUGAGCCAGCAACCUGUACACAGCAUCCAGUCGAAGAUAUCAGUCAAAGCUAUGCUUUUCCUCUCAUGCCUGUUCUCUCAGGAGUGCAACAUGAGUCCACGAGGAGUGAGCAUGGAGAGAGAUCCCGUCCAAACUUGUUGGUGUAAUGGUAGAAAAAUGGACAAGACAUAAUGCACUGUAAAGGACAGAGGCGGCUCAGGUGAGAGACAUUAUUAAGGGCCAUCCACAUUGAACAUUUGCCAUUGGGAGGACGAACUGAAACACUAUCUGAAGAGAACAUGAAGAAACGCAAGAAGGAUGAGUGCUGGGAUGGAGGGGGGUGGUCAACCGUGCCCGUAAUUGAUUUAGGCUUAUCCAAAAUGGUUAUUUGGGGUAUCAGGUUGAUUGUGGAGGUCUGCACACUGUGAAAUGUAUAGUAAUUAGACUAAGAAUGCAUUGAGAUACCAAUCUGUCAUUACCACAAGAGAUGACAAUAGUUAUUACUAGAAAUAUAAGAUGCAUAUAUUGUAUGUCAAUGUAAAUGUACAUUCUGCCAGUGUCGGUGUGUGCUAAAUUGAGGUUCUUAAAUUAAAGUGAUAGAACCAACGUGGAGCAUUAACUUCUUAGUGAUCCCUUUGCGCGCCGUUAACGGGAUUGAUUUGACAACACCCAGUGAAAUAGCAGCGCGCCAAAUUCAAAAACAGAAAUACUCCUAAUAAUAAUAAUUCAUGAAUCAUAAAAGUGUUAUACAUCGGUUUAAAGAUUAACUUCUUGUUAAUCCAGCCACAGUGUCAUAUUUAAAAAAGGCUUUACGGCGAAAGCAAACCAUGCUAUUAUCUGAGGACAGCACCCCAUUAAACAAACACAUGAAAAUCACCUUUCAACCCGCCAGGCGUGACACAAAAGUCAGAAAUAACGAUAUAAUUAAUGCCUUACCUUUAAAGAUCUUCUUCUGUUGGCACUCCAAAUUGUCCAUUAAACAUCACAAAUGGUCCUUUUGUUCGAUAAAUUCUGUCAUUAUAUCUCCAAAAUGUACAUUUAUUUGGCGCAUUUUAUCCAGAAAAACACUGGUUCCAACUCGCGCAACAUGACUACAAAUUACCUGUAAACUUGAUCCAAACAUUUCAAACAACUUUCCUAAUCCAACUUUAGGUAUUUUAAACGUAAAUAAUCAAUCAAAUGUAAGAUUGGAUAAACUGUGUUCAAUACCGUAUGAAAACAAAGUGUUGCUUUCAGGUCACGCGCCCCAACCACAACAGUACACUAGACUUGACCCUCAUUCUGAACAGCCCUACUUCUUAAUUUCAUAAAGGAAAAACAUCAACCAAUUUCUAAAGACUGUGGACAUCUAGUGGAAGCGAUAGGAACUGCAAUCUAGAUCCACAUAGAAAACCCAUUGAAAAGAGAGUGACUUUUAAAAAGAAUUACUGGAUGGUUUGUCCUCUGGGUUUCUCCUGCCAAAUAAGUUCUGUUAUACCCACAGACAUAAUUGUAACAGUUUUAGAAACAUCAGAGUGUUUUCUAUCCAAAUCUACCAAUUACAUGCAUAUCCUGGCUUCUGGGUCUGAGUAGCAGGCAGUUUACUUUGGGCACACUUUCCAUCCGGGUGUGAAAAUAGUGCCCCCUAGCCUUAAGGAUGGAGUUUCUAAAUUUGGGUUGCAUAAUUGAUCAAUAGUUAUAAUUACGAUUUGGAAAGGCUUCUAGGGACAGAGCUAUGGCCCUAAAUUGUGAGGAGAGCCACCAGAUUGUAGCUUGGGCUAACCUUGCCCCAUUCUCAUUCUUAUCAAGGUUGGUGUGAAACUGUUGUAACACAUGUUCUCUCUCAUCGCUGUGAAAGUCAAUAUGCAUUUGCCCAAGACCAAAUUCGGGAGAUCUCUAGAAACGUAGAGAAAAUUGGUAAUGCAAAAAUAAUUGUGCAAAUUGGCUCUGCAAAACAGAGAGGCUCUUUUGGCAGGUCUUUUGGCAGGUCAAGGGGGCUCUUCAAAUCAAACUUUAUUUGUCACAUGCGCCAAAUACAACAAGUGUAGACCUUACCGUGAAAUGCUUACUUAAAACCCCUUAACCAACAGUGCAGAUCAAGAAGAGUUAAGAAAAUAUUUACCAAAUAAACUAAGGUAAAAAAUAAUAAGCAGUAACACAAUAACAUAACAAUAAGGAGUCUAUAUACAGGGGGUACCAGUACCGAGUCAGUGUGCAGGUGUACGGGUUUAAGGUUAUUUGUACAUGUAGGCAGGGGUGAAGUGACUAUGCAUAGAUAAUAAACAGCGAGUAGCAGCAGUGUACAAAACAAAUGGAGGGGUGGGUGGAGUCAACGUAAUAGUCCGGUGGCCAUUUGAUUAAUUGUUCAGCAGUCUUAUGGGUUGGGGGUAGAAGCUGUUAAGGAGACUUUUUGUCCUAGACUUGGUGCUCCAGUUCCGCUAGACGUGCGGUAGCAGAGAAAACAGUCUCUGACUUUGGUGACUGGAGUCUCUAACAAUUUUAUGGGCUUUCCUCUGACACCACCUAUUAUGUAGGUCCUGGAUUGCAGGAAGCUUGGCCCCAGUAAUGUACUGGGCCGUAUGCACUACCCUCUGUAGCGCCUUACGGUCAGAUGCCAAGCAGUUACCAUACCAGGCGGUGAUGUAACCGGUCAGGAUGCUCUCGAUGGUGCAGCUGUAGAACGUUUUGAGGAUCUGGGGAUCCAUGACAAAUCUUUUCAGUCUCCUGAGGGGGAGAAGGUUUUGUCAUGCCCUCUUCACGACACUUGUGCAAUCAUUGGCGAUGAAUGUUGAACUUUUGUCCCAGAUCACUCUUCUAAUAUGACUGAUCUUGCCAAAUACAUUGCCACUGUUGCUAAGAAUAAUUCCCCACAACUAGAGUGAGCGUCUGUAUCUUGGUUGGAAUCCCUGUUUGGAAGUUGGGGAUCCCAAAUUGCCAAAUGGGCUGCAGUGUGUGUUAAUAGAAGUAUAACCUUUAUUAUGAUUAUAGUAUUACCAUACUAAUUAGAUUGUAUUACCCAGAAUGAAGGGUUUGAAAUUAUGAAGUGUCUGUUUUUUUCUUUGUUGAUUUCCCUUACUUUAAUAGGAGUAUAGAACAUUUUGACAUAGAAGCUAAAAUGUAAAUGCUUACAUUAAAAUGUAAUGAUUAUUAUCACACAAGUGAUAAGAAGAUGGAACGUGAUGGAAGGUUUUAUGUUGGUGCUUUUUUAAAACUUUAUGUUGGCACAGCCAGAAGAGGACUGUCCACCCCACAUAGCCUGGUUCCUCUCUAGGUUUCUUCCUAGGUUUUGGCCUUUCUAGGGAGUUUUUCCUAGCCACCGUGCUUCUACACCUGCAUUGCUUGCUGUUUGGGGUUUUAGGCUGGGUUUCUGUACAGCACUUUGAGAUAUCAGCUGAUGUACGAAGGGCUAUAUAAAUACAUUUGAUUUGAUUUGAUUUGAAUAAAUACAUUUCAUUUGAACUAACGGGACUGCCCCGAGAGAGCUCCUGACAGAUGUUCACUAUGGUGCAUCAAGUUUGUUGGAACC